UUAACACAUGCAAGUCGAGGGGCAGCAUGGUCUUAGCUUGCUAAGGCUGAUGGCGACCGGCGCACGGGUGAGUAACACGUAUCCAACCUGCCGUCUACUCUUGGCCAGCCUUCUGAAAGGAAGAUUAAUCCAGGAUGGCAUCAUGAGUUCACAUGUCCGCAUGAUUAAAGGUAUUUUCCGGUAGACGAUGGGGAUGCGUUCCAUUAGAUAGUAGGCGGGGUAACGGCCCACCUAGUCAACGAUGGAUAGGGGUUCUGAGAGGAAGGUCCCCCACAUUGGAACUGAGACACGGUCCAAACUCCUACGGGAGGCAGCAGUGAGGAAUAUUGGUCAAUGGGCGAUGGCCUGAACCAGCCAAGUAGCGUGAAGGAUGACUGCCCUAUGGGUUGUAAACUUCUUUUAUAAAGGAAUAAAGUCGGGUAUGCAUACCCGUUUGCAUGUACUUUAUGAAUAAGGAUCGGCUAACUCCGUGCCAGCAGCCGCGGCAAUACGGAGGAUCCGAGCGUUAUCCGGAUUUAUUGGGUUUAAAGGGAGCGUAGAUGGAUGUUUAAGUCAGUUGUGAAAGUUUGCGGCUCAACCGUAAAAUUGCAGUUGAUACUGGAUGUCUUGAGUGCAGUUGAGGCAGGCGGAAUUCGUGGUGUAGCGGUGAAAUGCUUAGAUAUCACGAAGAACUCCGAUUGC
RNAcentral lists this ribosomal RNA (681 nucleotides) under uncultured Bacteroidales bacterium. RNAcentral's name for it is "bacterial SSU rRNA". It matches the Rfam family "Bacterial small subunit ribosomal RNA", at positions 48 to 716 of the family's 1533-position model. Lineage: Bacteria; Pseudomonadati; Bacteroidota; Bacteroidia; Bacteroidales. The record is from RNAcentral.